This 231-nucleotide small RNA is filed under the name Cavia porcellus (domestic guinea pig). Its description in RNAcentral is "Metazoan signal recognition particle RNA (ENSCPOG00000037490.1)". The record is from RNAcentral. Lineage: Eukaryota; Metazoa; Chordata; Mammalia; Rodentia; Caviidae.
GCCAGGCGUGGUGGCUCACGCCUGUAAUCCCAGCACUCAGGAGGCUGAGGCAGGAGGAUCAUUGCGAGUUUGAGAGCAGCCUGUACUACAAAGUGAGCUCAAGGCCAGCCUGAACUGAUAGACUCUGUCUCAAAAUUAUAGAGUUAGGAUUUUGCUAUGCAGUUCAGGCUAGCCUUGAACUCACUUUGUAGCCCAGGCUGGCUCUGAACUCUCAGCAAUGCUCCUACCUCC